RNAcentral lists this ribosomal RNA (430 nucleotides) under Acidobacteriota bacterium. RNAcentral's name for it is "Acidobacteria bacterium partial 16S ribosomal RNA". It matches the Rfam family "Bacterial small subunit ribosomal RNA", at positions 355 to 776 of the family's 1533-position model. The record is from RNAcentral. Lineage: Bacteria; Pseudomonadati; Acidobacteriota.
UGGGGAAUAUUGGACAAUGGGCGCAAGCCUGAUCCAGCCAUGCCGCGUGUGUGAAGAAGGCCUUUUGGUUGUAAAGCACUUUAAGCGAGGAGGAGGCUACUUGGAUUAAUACUCUAAGAUAGUGGACGUUACUCGCAGAAUAAGCACCGGCUAACUCUGUGCCAGCAGCCGCGGUAAUACAGAGGGUGCGAGCGUUAAUCGGAUUUGCUGGGCGUAAAGCGUGCGUAGGCGGCUUCUUAAGUCGGAUGUGAAAUCCCUGAGCUUAACUUAGGAAUUGCAUUCGAUACUGGGAAGCUAGAGUAUGGGAGAGGAUGGUAGAAUUCCAGGUGUAGCGGUGAAAUGCGUAGAGAUCUGGAGGAAUACCGAUGGCGAAGGCAGCCAUCUGGCCUAAUACUGACGCUGAGGUACGAAAGCAUGGGGAGCAAACAGG